GAAACGAAAAAACCGCCUGGGGAGGCGGUUUUUUCGAGGGUUCAGUAAGUUGGGGAACUUCUGAACCGUGGUAACAGGGUGUACAAGACCGCUGAAACCAAAUUCUGUCCUUCCAGUUUAGCCGUAGUUGGGCUGAUACUUCAAGAACUCUCAUUCAGUUAAUCUUCUUGUACACCCUUUACCAGUGGCUGCUGCCAAUGGCGAUAAGUCGUGUCUUUCCGGGUUGGACUCAAGACGAUAGUUACCGGAAUAGGCGCAGCAGUCGGACUGAACGGGGGGUUCGUGCAUACAGUCCAGCUUGGAGCGAACUGCCUUCCCGGAACCGAGUGUCAGGCGUGGAAUGAGAAACCGCGGCCAUAACAGCGGAAUGACACCGGUAAACCGAAAGGCAGGAACAGGAGAGCGCGCGAGGGAGCUACCAGGGGGAAACGCCUGGGAUCUUUAUAGUCCUGUCGGGUUUCGCCGCCACUGAUUUGAGCGUCAGAAUUUGUGAUGCUUGUCAGGGGGGCGGAGCCUAUGGAAA
Molecule: small RNA, 523 nt
Filed under: Pectobacterium versatile
Lineage: Bacteria; Pseudomonadati; Pseudomonadota; Gammaproteobacteria; Enterobacterales; Pectobacteriaceae
Description: RNAII
Source: RNAcentral